Molecule: ribosomal RNA, 482 nt
Filed under: uncultured bacterium
Lineage: Bacteria
Description: SSU rRNA
Rfam family: Bacterial small subunit ribosomal RNA
Source: RNAcentral
AGAGCGAACGCUGGCGGCGUGCUUAACACAUGCAAGUCGAGUGCGCGCCUGUAGCAAUACAGGUGGCGCACGGCGCACGGGUGCGUAACACGUGGGUAAUCUGCCCUUCGAUGGGGAAUAACUCCGGGAAACCGAAGCUAAUUCCGCAUAACAUUCCUUGGACCUCGGUCUGGGGAUUCAAAGCCGUAAGGCGUCGGAGGAGGAACCCGCGCACGAUUAGUUAGUUGGCAGGGUAACGGCCUACCAAGACUUUGAUCGUUAGCUGGUCUGAGAGGAUGGCCAGCCACACUGGAACUGAGACACGGUCCAGACUCCUACGGGAGGCAGCAGUGGGGAAUCUUGCACAAUGGGCGAAAGCCUGACGCAGCGACGCCGCGUGCGGGAUGAAGGCCUUCGGGUUGUAACCGCUUUCACCAGGGACGAAGCGAGAGUGACGGUACCGUGGGGAAGAAGCGCCGGCUAACGUACGUGCCAGCAGCCGC